RNAcentral lists this long non-coding RNA (524 nucleotides) under Phasianus colchicus (ring-necked pheasant). RNAcentral's name for it is "lncRNA (ENSPCLG00000009089.1)". Lineage: Eukaryota; Metazoa; Chordata; Aves; Galliformes; Phasianidae. The record is from RNAcentral.
CUCUGAUUCUGCUGGCCCAUCAACAUCAAUGCUACUGCUGCUGUGGAUAGCAUGUGUGUUGGUUAACCCACUAUGGCCUUGAAAAUCUACCAUUAGUAAGGCAGAGCACAAAGGAAGGAAAGAACACAUCUGGGAAACGAAAAGGAAACCAAAAAGGAGGUUUUAAACUGCGAAGUUGCAGACACUAGGAGAUGGAGAAGUAUAAUUGUUCUCAUUAUCAUUGUGAAAACUCCAAGGAAAUACAAUCCCAAGAUACUUUACCUUGACAAGCAACCAGGAACAAUAUCGACAUCAAGUCAUGGGAUUUGAAGGAAGAGCUGUGUUCCUGUUUAUGAUUCAUGUUGGAUGAGACUCUAAGAACUGAAGAGGAGUAAUCAGGCAUAAACCUCAAUCCUUCGGAGGCUAUUGGCUGUCCAUCAGCACUGCAAAUUUUGGGUACUCUACUUUGGGUAACCAAACAGGUAAGAAUUGAACACUAGCUUUUGCCUUUUUAAAAUCUCAUCCGCCCACUUAGACAUCCUCAU